This 473-nucleotide ribosomal RNA is filed under the name uncultured bacterium. RNAcentral describes it as "bacterial SSU rRNA". It matches the Rfam family "Bacterial small subunit ribosomal RNA", at positions 355 to 825 of the family's 1533-position model. The record is from RNAcentral.
UGGGGAAUAUUGCGCAAUGGGCGAAAGCCUGACGCAGCAACGCCGCGUGAGUGAUGAAGGCCUUCGGGUCGUAAAGCUCUGUCGGAGGGAACGAAUGCUCUUGAGGUUAACAGCCUCGGGAGGUGACGGUACCCUCAAAGGAAGCACCGGCUAACUCUGUGCCAGCAGCCGCGGUAAUACAGAGGGUGCAAGCGUUGUUCGGAAUUACUGGGCGUAAAGGGCGCGUAGGCGGCAUGACAAGUCACUUGUGAAAUCUCUGGGCUUAACCCAGAACGGCCAAGUGAUACUGUCGCGCUAGAGUGCAGAAGGGGCAAUCGGAAUUCUUGGUGUAGCGGUGAAAUGCGUAGAUAUCAAGAGGAACACCUGAGGUGAAGACGGGUUGCUGGGCUGACACUGACGCUGAGGCGCGAAAGCCAGGGGAGCAAACGGGAUUAGAUACCCCCGUAGUCCCUGAGCGGGCUGGCAAGGCGCAU